This 75-nucleotide transfer RNA is filed under the name Candidatus Beckwithbacteria bacterium CG2_30_44_31. RNAcentral describes it as "tRNA-Cys". It matches the Rfam family "tRNA". From Rfam's summary of the family: Transfer RNA (tRNA) molecules are approximately 80 nucleotides in length. Their secondary structure includes four short double-helical elements and three loops (D, anti-codon, and T loops). Lineage: Bacteria; Candidatus Beckwithiibacteriota. The record is from RNAcentral.
GGCCUAGUGGCGAAGCGGUAACGCAACUGUCUGCAAAACAGUUAUUCGUCGGUUCGAUUCCGACCUAGGCCUCAA